CUCACGAUCUCUCUCUCUCUCUCUCUCUCUCUCAAAAAUAAACAUUAAAAAUUAAACACACACAAAAAAAGAGCUUCCUGAUUCCUUUCCUCAUUUGUACGUCUUGCAUUGCUUUCCUCCUGCUUCAGAAAUAAGCCAAAGCCGGAUGCCUGGUGGCUCAGUCGGUUGAGCGUCCGACCAUUGAUUUCAGCUCAGGUCAUGAUCUCACGGUUCAUGACAUCGAACCCGGUGUCAGGCUCCACGUUGAUCGUGGAGACUGCUCAUGCUCUCUCUCUCUCAAAGAGAAAAAACAAACAAACCAAAGUAAAAGUAACUAUGAACCAUGUCUCCACUGUCACGCAACACCCGACAGACUCUGCGUUCCGGCUCGAGCAGUGUCUCACAUGAACACACACGGCAUUUGCCUCACUCACUGCCACAAACAUCUGGAUGCUCCUUUCUCAACCACAGAGGGCAAUCUCGACUGGCCUGUCAUACAACUCGUUUCUCAAAACUCCAGAGCAGACGUCUCGUUCCUUAGCUUCUCUGGUGCCCCUUCCCUGGGAAGGAGAGGGUGGGUUCCAAUCUCGCUUGCCCUGAUGCUUGUGCGAACUUGGGCAAGUUACCCGUCAUCUCCAAGCCUUGUUUGGACAAGUCAGGUAUCUGCCUCGGUGGGUUAUCCUGAGGAUAAAGGAGAUAAUGUAGGUACAGAGCACUGCCCGCUGCCUGGCAUGUAGUCCGUGCUCAGUAAACAGCAACGGUAGUGGUGUUUCGACAUGACUGGUUUCACAAGCCUGUCGCCCAAUGUUUGCAUCACAACGUGUCCCUGCUCAAACCAGGAGGUCAGAAUGUUUCACUUCGGUUUGGGAAACAGUGAGGGAGUCGAGGGGGCACUAACAUUUCUUAAUCCUUAUCAUCUCCGCGGUGGAAAAUAUCAAUCGUUAUCAUCUCAUUUUAGAAAUAAGGACGCUGAGCCUCGUUCUUGGCGAUGGUCGCUCAGGUUGGCCUGCAUGGGAAGCCGGUACCCCUCCCACCUAAAAGUGCUCAAGAUCUCAGGGCGCCUGGGUGGCUCAGGCAGGUGUCUGGCUGGAAGCAUCUUUCCCUGCACUGCAAUCGGGUUCCCUUGUGCUGUUGUCCAUCACGUGUAUGCCACGACACGACCAUCUUCUGCUUGACUCUUCGAUGAGAUCCCGAGACCGUGUUCCGCAUUUUUUCACUUCUCUCCAUUCCCCCCAACAUUUAACCCAGAAAUAUGCUGGAAAUGGAUAGAUGCUCAUGGAGUGAUAAAAAAAUUAGCAAGGUCACAAAUCCGAAGAAAGACUUUAGAUCUGGGUUUUUGGGUUUUUUUUCCUAGAGUUCUAUCUGAACAGAAAUCACAUGUUAAAUAAAUGACUAAACUUUG
Long non-coding RNA from Felis catus (domestic cat), 1381 nucleotides. RefSeq lists it as uncharacterized. NCBI's taxonomy places the organism in Eukaryota, Metazoa, Chordata, Mammalia, Carnivora, Felidae. The record is from RefSeq and is a predicted model, not a curated record. The transcript has 2 exons.